UAACUGAGGAGUGCUGUGCCUGGCUGUGUGCUGCAACAUUGAUCAAUACAGGAACCUUGACCAGUCUGAGGGGUAGAGACAACCACACUAGUAAAUGGUCUGACCCAUAACUGUUAUAUGGAGCUGCACCAGUUGGAGACGUCGUUAGAGAUGGGCAGGGCCCACUUGUAAGGUUGAAGAUAUUGCCUGUGUGAAGGCGAUGUGGUGGGCAGCUGCAAGUCUUCAGAAUGUCAUCACCAGCAGCAACACGCCAAAACAGUCUGCAAAGAUACAAGGUGAUGGAACUGGAGGAGCUGGAGGUGUUGAUGGUGUGGUGGAUGGCAGAGGAGUGACUAGUGGCGCCACUGCUCUUGACCUCCAUGGUUAAAUGGCGCCAUUAACCUGGAGGGGGAUGGGAUGACGUCAGUGGUUGUUUGUGGGGCGGGGGAAGG
Molecule: long non-coding RNA, 431 nt
Organism: Cherax quadricarinatus
Lineage: Eukaryota; Metazoa; Arthropoda; Malacostraca; Decapoda; Parastacidae
Source: RefSeq, a predicted model, not a curated record